Molecule: long non-coding RNA, 3574 nt
Filed under: Heterocephalus glaber (naked mole-rat)
Lineage: Eukaryota; Metazoa; Chordata; Mammalia; Rodentia; Bathyergidae
Description: lncRNA (ENSHGLG00100052381.1)
Source: RNAcentral
CGCCCCGCUGCCUCGCCAUUGUCAGCACUGUUCAAGCCACGCGGUCCGGACAGUUCCGUGACAGCAGCCAACAGGUGAGGACGCGGCUUCCAGACCCAGUUCAGCCCUGCGGCUGUGCCUGGGACCUGCAUGACCUAAGGCUUUCCCCUGACCUCUCUGAUGCCUGUUUCCUCAUCUGUAAACCGAAGGGCAAAUGUGAGAGGUUUUAGAAGAAAAUGAACACCUACAAAGUGCUUUUAGAUUUAUUAACAAAAUGAAGCUGGCCGCAGCAGUAGUUGGAGCGCUUCCUAGCUGCCGUCAUGGUUUCAUUCAUCCACCCUGUCUGUCCGUCCAUCUGGUAGCCCUGUGGACCACAGGCAGUGAGGUUGCUUAUGCAAGCUCAUGACUGCUCACUGCAGCGUUUCAAGGAGAGUGGCUCCACAGCCCCAGCAGGCGGGCGUGAACUUCCCCGUGCUCCUGACUCCGAGUCUGCUGCUGACUCCUCACUGAGCUCCCUGUGCUCCUGGUCCUCGGAUGAGGAGUAGUUUUCAGGGGACACCUGGACAUGCUGGGCGUCUCUUCCUGGGACCCUGGGUCUUGUUUGAGCCUCAUCUGUGAGCCUUGCAGGGCAUAAAUGCAGGUCAGGCCACACUCGUGCCCGAAUGGGAAUCCAGGUGUUCUCAGAGCAGGAGGAGGUGGAGAGGCAAGUGAAGGGGGUGGUCCACGCCGGGACCUGGAGGAGGCGCCGACCUGACAGCUCCAGCUCAGCCUCCGGAGGGGACGGCCCAUCGGUUCCGGUGCAGUCCGUGAAGUUGUGUUGCUGCUAUCUGGGGACCAGCUGGGAGCUCCUGGGUCUCUGGGAGGAGAGGCCGGGCGACGGGACAGAGGGAAGGAUGCCGGAUGUCCUCUGGGGCAGAGAUGGACAGGCUGUGCCCCGGGAAACCAGACAGGGUCAGGGACUCCGGGAUCCAGGAGCAGGAUGGAGGCUGCUGACCAGCCAGCUCUGGGUGGCUUCCGGCAAGGAUGGGAGGGGCAGGGGCCUGUGUGUCCCUUGGGUAAGGCGCUUUCUGAGGCACCUGUGCUCUGUCGAGGUCGGAGGUUGCACAGCGGAGACUCUAGAGAACAAAGCACCUGUAGCUGAACAACUGCAAAAGACUAAGAGCUUCUAAACUGGGCGCAGAGACGCGGGCGUGCAGCAUCCCUCGCAAACAGAACCCCAGCUCACACCAGGCCCCGAGAAAAUGGCCAUGGGUGUGAUUUUGCCACCAGAACCAAUCACUUUUCUUUAAAUUUAAUUUAACAGAAAGCAUUCUUCAGGUUCUGAGACCAGAGUAAACUAACAGCUUAGAGAACACGAAUGUUUCCUUCCUCAUUGUGCACGCCCGCCAGAAACUUUCCGUGAUCUCAGAACCUUCAGGCCACCUUGGCUGAGGCAGGAUCUGGUCCCAAAGUUGGGCAGUGAUGCCUCAUCCUGGACAGUCUGGGGCCUGCAGCUUCCCUAGUGCAUCGGACACAGAUGAGGGCUGACCUGAUUCACAGGCAGAGCAAUGAUCAGGAGGCCUGGAAAAAUCAUCCGCAAGGAGGCGGCGGGGCACAUGGAGGUACUAGAAAUCUCCCACUUCAACACUGUGCCUUUUUCAGUACCAAACAGCAUCUGGUGUCCUGACACAUACAAGAUCCCCAGCAUGCGGGAGGUCCUGCUUUGCACAGGGCCUCAUGUACACUUAAGCCACCCCGAGAGGUGGCUUCUACUAUUAUCCCUAAGGAUUGGGGGCUUGGGAGAUGCUAGGCAAACUGCCAGUUCCUUGCGAACAGUGCCUGCCUGCCUCUCAGUCUCUGUCCACUCUGUUCCCGAGGUGCCACCUGCUGUAUUUCCCCGUAUUCCUGAUUUUCAUUCCCGGUGUCUGACCAUAGCCAAUCAACAAAUCAAUAGGUUGGAGAUAGACUUUCAACAUACAAUUCAGAACUAUGAAGGCAAUUUUUAAUUUGGACAUUGAUGGUAAUAUGGUACUCCUCCCUUCUUUUUAUAUUUCCUUUGUCUUUCAGUGCUCAGGUACUUUCCUGAGACAACUGGAUGGUAGUCUGCAUCUCACUGGAGCCUGGGCCAGCACCCAGCGCAGCCCUGAUGCUAUGCUCUAGGUGGAGAGGGACAAUCCCAGACCAAAGGCAGCGAGCCCUGGAGUCUCCUGGGACCAGUGGGGACAUGGCACACCACCCCGAUUCUAUUCACAAGAAGGGACAGGGUGGUGUCCAGGAGCACGGACUGCCUUAGAACUGUCCUUGCGCUGUAUGGAGGGGGCACAGAGGCCUGCUGCUGCAAGUGAGGGCUGGCAGAGGGUGGGUGAGCUGGGGUUGCAGAUGCUGCAGUGGACAGAUGGGUGGAAGGCUUCAAACAGGCAGUCCUGAAAUGAAAAGUGAUAUAGAAAGGCAAGAGUCAGCUGAGAAGUGCUGUCAUCUGCUCUAAACCUCUUGAAAAUAUUUAGCACAUCAUAGCCCAAAGAAGAAAUGACAAAGCAGUUAAUUUGAGACAAACAAAAAUACUGUUAAAAAGCCAGGCCCCCAUAGGGUUGACAUACAAAUGACGGGUUACAAGGAGAACCUCCAGCCUGGAGAUGGAAGCCCUAGGACACUGAGGAAACCACGGAGCAAGGCUGCAAAGAAGAACUAACUUCACCUAUCUGCUUCCAGGAAGUCAUAAGGCACAGGGACAAAGGUUUGAGAAAAGUCAUUUCUUAGGGAUAUAAAACAAAGUUUUACUCAACACAAACCAAGUAUCCAAAGGGGAACCUGAGGAAGAAGAAGCUGGAGAACUUGUGCUGGAUGCUGACAGGGUCAGCAGGAGACCCUGGCUUCCUGGGCAGCGGAUCCAGUGUCGUGGGACAGCACAGUGGGACCAUGUCUUAUACAUGGCAGGUCUCAUGGGAAUCUGCACUGUGCCUCGUCCUUGCUCAAUUCUGGGUGCACACGUUGCUUCUAACAAUGGACAGUGUGCAGCCUACUUGGGCCUUCAUCUCACCACUUGCAAAGUAACAAUAAUAAAAGCCACAUUGAGAACUAGACUAAGCAAAUGUCAGCAAAGACAUGGGGAAACUGGAAAGCCAGUGUGCCGAUGUUGGGAAUGUACAAUGGUAUAUUCACUGGCGAGAAUAGUAUGGUGGUUACUCAAAAAUGCCAGACAGAAUUACAUGUGACCUAGCAACUCUGCUUCCAAUGAUAGGGCCUCAAAAAGACAGCUCUACAUCCACAUCUCUGGGAACAUUCUGCACAAAUCCCCAAGACACGGAAGCCACCCAAGUGUUCAUGAGUGGAAGAAUGAAUAAACAACAUGUGGGUUCCACUUGCAAUGGAACAGACUCGGGUUUUAAAAGGAAAAGUAUUAUGACACAUGCUAUCUCAUAAACAAAGCCUGAGAACAUCACACUAAGAAAUGAGCCAGCCAUAAAAGACAGACCUGAGUCACUGCAGCUACAGGAAACAUCUAGAUGCCACCUGUAGACAGUAGGACACAGAUCUCCAGGGCCAGAAGGGGUGAAGUGAUCUUUAAUGGGUAUGGAGUUUCAGUUUUGCAAAAUGAAAAAGUACUGAUGGGUGGGCA